RNAcentral lists this ribosomal RNA (301 nucleotides) under uncultured bacterium. RNAcentral describes it as "partial 16S ribosomal RNA". It matches the Rfam family "Bacterial small subunit ribosomal RNA", at positions 509 to 807 of the family's 1533-position model. The record is from RNAcentral.
CAGCCGCCGCGGUAAUACGUAGGUGGCAAGCGUUGUCCGGAAUUAUUGGGCGCAAAGGGCUCGCAGGCGGUUUCUUAAGUCUGAUGUGAAAGCCCCCGGCUCAACCGGGGAGGGUCAUUGGAAACUGGGAAACUUGAGUGCAGAGGAGGAGAGUGGAAUUCCACGUGUAGCGGUGAAAUGCGUAGAGAUGUGGAGGAACACCAGUGGCGAAGGCGACUCUCUGGUCUGUAACUGACGCUGAGGAGCGAAAGCGUGGGGAGCGAACAGGAUUAGAUACCCCUGUAGUCCCUGUCUCUUAUAC